CGGCGAGGGGAGUGAAAAAGAACCUGAAACCGUGUACGUACAAGCAGUGGGAGCACGCUUAGGCGUGUGACUGCGUACCUUUUGUAUAAUGGGUCAGCGACUUAUAUUCUGUAGCAAGGUUAACCGAAUAGGGGAGCCGAAGGGAAACCGAGUCUUAACUGGGCGUUAAGUUGCAGGGUAUAGACCCGAAACCCGGUGAUCUAGCCAUGGGCAGGUUGAAGGUUGGGUAACACUAACUGGAGGACCGAACCGACUAAUGUUGAAAAAUUAGCGGAUGACUUGUGGCUGGGGGUGAAAGGCCAAUCAAACCGGGAGAUAGCUGGUUCUCCCCGAAAGCUAUUUAGGUAGCGCCUCGUGAAUUCAUCUCCGGGGGUAGAGCACUGUUUCGGCAAGGGGGUCAUCCCGACUUACCAACCCGAUGCAAACUGCGAAUACCGGAGAAUGUUAUCACGGGAGACACACGGCGGGUGCUAACGUCCGUCGUGAAGAGGGAAACAACCCAGACCGCCAGCUAAGGUCCCAAAGUCAUGGUUAAGUGGGAAACGAUGUGGGAAGGCCCAGACAGCCAGGAUGUUGGCUUAGAAGCAGCCAUCAUUUAAAGAAAGCGUAAUAGCUCACUGGUCGAGUCGGCCUGCGCGGAAGAUGUAACGGGGCUAAACCAUGCACCGAAGCUGCGGCAGCGACGCUGAUGCGUUGUUGGGUAGGGGAGCGUUCUGUAAGCCUGCGAAGGUGUGCUGUGAGGCAUGCUGGAGGUAUCAGAAGUGCGAAUGCUGACAUAAGUAACGAUAAAGCGGGUGAAAAGCCCGCUCGCCGGAAGACCAAGGGUUCCUGUCCAACGUUAAUCGGGGCAGGGUGAGUCGACCCCUAAGGCGAGGCCGAAAGGCGUAGUCGAUGGGAAACAGGUUAAUAUUCCUGUACUUGGUGUUACUGCGAAGGGGGGACGGAGAAGGCUAUGUUGGCCGGGCGACGGUUGUCCCGGUUUA
Molecule: ribosomal RNA, 983 nt
Filed under: Escherichia coli
Lineage: Bacteria; Pseudomonadati; Pseudomonadota; Gammaproteobacteria; Enterobacterales; Enterobacteriaceae
Description: partial 23S ribosomal RNA
Rfam family: Bacterial large subunit ribosomal RNA
Source: RNAcentral